CGGGGUGUCAUAUACCGGUAGUAUGCAUGCUUCGGGAGUAUGCAGACUGGGUUCAAUUCCCAGCACCCCGACCA
This 74-nucleotide transfer RNA is filed under the name Patescibacteria group bacterium. Its description in RNAcentral is "tRNA-Pro". It matches the Rfam family "tRNA". Rfam says of the family: Transfer RNA (tRNA) molecules are approximately 80 nucleotides in length. Their secondary structure includes four short double-helical elements and three loops (D, anti-codon, and T loops). Further hydrogen bonds mediate the characteristic L-shaped molecular structure. tRNAs have two regions of fundamental functional importance: the anti-codon, which is responsible for specific mRNA codon recognition, and the 3' end, to which the tRNAs corresponding amino acid is attached (by aminoacyl-tRNA synthetases). tRNAs cope with the degeneracy of the genetic code in two manners: having more than one tRNA (with a specific anti-codon) for a particular amino acid; and 'wobble' base-pairing, i.e. permitting non-standard base-pairing at the 3rd anti-codon position. The record is from RNAcentral.